Amphimedon queenslandica is the source of this 384-nucleotide long non-coding RNA. RefSeq lists it as uncharacterized. The transcript has 2 exons. Lineage: Eukaryota; Metazoa; Porifera; Demospongiae; Haplosclerida; Niphatidae. The record is from RefSeq and is a predicted model, not a curated record.
UAGGUGUGGUUAAUGAUUAUGGCCCAUCCUACAUUGUAGUGAAGAUGUGUGGCUUAUUCUUGGUAACAAAUUGACUCUGGCUGGGACUUAAAGUAUUAAAGGACCUUCUUUCUCGAUAUUUUUGGGCGACGGGCCGUCUUUCACUAUCAUUGGGGACUUGUUGUACUCAAUCCUGGCCUGUCCGAGGCUUACCUUAUCCAUUACAACUGUAGUUACCUAGGUGAUGGAUCAUCUUUUACCAAGAUAGGACAGCUUAUAUUCAUUAUACCUUUUUAAUUGUACAACAUUACUGUAUAUACUGAGAUAUUUAACUGUUGUUUAAUUACUGUGUAGUGUGUAGACUGUUUUACCUGUAUUUUAGUGUAGUAUCAAGUUUAUUAUAAC